CACUCCUGCGGGAGGCAGCAGUGGGGAAUAUUGCACAAUGGGCGCAAGCCUGAUGCAGCCAUGCCGCGUGUAUGAAGAAGGCCUUCGGGUUGUAAAGUACUUUCAGCGGGGAGGAAGGCGAUAAGGUUAAUAACCUUGUCGAUUGACGUUACCCGCAGAAGAAGCACCGGCUAACUCCGUGCCAGCAGCCGCGGUAAUACGGAGGGUGCAAGCGUUAAUCGGAAUUACUGGGCGUAAAGCGCACGCAGGCGGUCUGUCAAGUCGGAUGUGAAAUCCCCGGGCUCAACCUGGGAACUGCAUUCGAAACUGGCAGGCUAGAGUCUUGUAGAGGGGGGUAGAAUUCCAGGUGUAGCGGUGAAAUGCGUAGAGAUCUGGAGGAAUACCGGUGGCGAAGGCGGCCCCCUGGACAAAGACUGACGCUCAGGUGCGAAAGCGUGGGGAGCAAACAGGAUUAGAAACCCUUGUAGUCCCAUGA
This 475-nucleotide ribosomal RNA is filed under the name uncultured organism. Its description in RNAcentral is "partial 16S ribosomal RNA". It matches the Rfam family "Bacterial small subunit ribosomal RNA", at positions 334 to 800 of the family's 1533-position model. The record is from RNAcentral.